GACAGAGGUGCCGAGCGUUAGGCGGAAUCACUGGGCUUAAAGCGUGUGUAGGCGGACUUCUAAGUCCCUUGUGAAAUCCCACGGCUCAACCGUGGAACUGCUUGGUAUACUGGUCGUCUUGAGCCAUCUAGGGGCUGUCGGAACAAAUGGUGGAGCGGUGAAAUGCGUAGAUAUCAUUUGGAACGCCAAAGGUGAAAACAGACAGCUGGGGAUGUGCUGACGCUGAGACACGAAAGCCAGGGGAGCGAACGGG
This 253-nucleotide ribosomal RNA is filed under the name uncultured bacterium. Its description in RNAcentral is "partial 16S ribosomal RNA". It matches the Rfam family "Bacterial small subunit ribosomal RNA", at positions 524 to 776 of the family's 1533-position model. The record is from RNAcentral.